RNAcentral lists this ribosomal RNA (2146 nucleotides) under human gut metagenome. RNAcentral's name for it is "bacterial LSU rRNA". It matches the Rfam family "Bacterial large subunit ribosomal RNA", at positions 1 to 2003 of the family's 2925-position model. The record is from RNAcentral.
UGCCGCUUGCGAGGGCGUAUGGUGGAUGCCUUGGCAGACAGUACCGAUGAAGGACGUUUGAGGAUGCGAUAAUCCUAGGGGAGCCUCCAACAUGGCUUUGAUCCUAGGGUCUCCGAAUGGGGGAACCCGCCGGCCGUCAUGGGCCGGCACCGCCUAUGGGCGGGGGGUACGCAGGGAAGUGAAACAUCUCAGUACCUGCAGGAAGGGAUACUCCGUGAGUAGUGGCGAGCGAAAGCGGAUCAGACCAAACCGGUUGCGCGUGAUACCCGUCGGGGGUUGCGUUGCCGGUGUUGUGGGAUCACGUGUCCCGGUUCCGACGGGCCGGGCGGGAGUCAUAAAACGGCUUGCCAGGGGAACAGGCUUGAAGGCCUGGCCGUAGAGGGUGCCAGCCCCGUACCUGGACGUGAGCCGUCUUCCGAUCGUGUUGUCCCAAGUAGCGCGGGCCUCGUGGAAUCCCGCGUGAAUCAGCCCAGACCGUUGGGUAAGUCUAAGCAUACCUGUCUGACCGAUAGCGUACCAGUACCGUGAGGGAAAGGUGAAAAGCACCCCGGGAGGGGAGUGAAACAGUUCCUGAAACCGUGCGCCCACAAACCGUCGGAGCCUCCGCGUGGGGUGACGGCGUGCCUAUCGAAAAAUGAGUCUGCGAGUCAGUGGCGGGUGGCGAGCAUAAGCCGUGUGGCGUAUGCGUAGCGAAAGCGAGUCUUAAAAGGCGUUUUUAGUCGCUUGUCCUGGACCCGAAGCGGGAUGAUCUAGCCCUGGGCAGGUUGAAGCGCGGGUAAGACCGCGUGGAGGACCGAACCCACCUGGGUUGAAAACCGGGGGGAUGACCUGGGGCUAGGGGUGAAAGGCCAAUCAAAUUCCGUGAUAGCUGGUUCUCUCCGAAAUGCAUUUAGGUGCAGCGUCGGUCGAUUGCGUCGCGGGGGUAGAGCUACCGGAUGCUUGCGGGCCCUUGUUGGGUACCAACAGCAGCCGAACUCCGAAUACCGUUGACGUGUAUUCCGGCAGUGAGUCGGCGGGGGAUAAGCUCCGUCGUCGAGAGGGAGACAGCCCAGACCGUCGUCUAAGGUCCCGAAGCGUGUGCUAAGUGGGAAAGGAUGUGGAGUCGCAUAGACAGCCAGGAGGUUGGCUCAGAAGCAGCCAUCCUUGAAAGAGUGCGUAACAGCUCACUGGUCUAGUGGUUCCGCGCCGACAAUGUAGCGGGGCUCAAGCACACCACCGAAGACGCGGCAGCAAUCUUCAUGGUUGCUGGGUAGGAGAGCGUCCUGCAUGGGGCGAAGCGGCCGGGUAACCGUGCCGUGGACCGUGUGGGAGUGAGAAUGCAGACAUGAGUAGCGAGAGACGGGUGAGGAUCCCGUCCGCUGGAUGACCAAGGGUUCCGGGGCCACGUUCGUCGUCCCCGGGUGAGUCGGGUCCUAAGGCGAGGCCGACAGGCGUAGUCGAAUGGAUGAACGGGUGGAUAUUCCCGUACCGACCAUGGACCGGCAAAACCGAGACGGUGAGUACUAACCUCCGCCUCGUGGUGGUUCCUUCCUUCGGGUUGGUUCCGCCGCGUGGUGUUGGGAGCGUAGCCGUAGUAGGUCAGCGCAGGGGUGACACGGAAUGGGAGCCGGCCGCGGAGGUGGUUUUCCGUGGUCAAGCACGCAGCCAGUCAUGUAGGCAAAUCCGCAUGGCGCGCAUGGCGAGGUGUGAUGAUGGGAGCCGUUAUGGUUCGAUAUCCGGUUGUCCAGGCCGUCGAGAAAAGCCUCGGCGUGAGGGCCAUGGCCGCCCGUACCCCAAACCGACACUGGUGGUCAGGUAGAGAAUACCAAGGCGAUCGAGCGAAUCCUGGUCAAGGAACUCGGCAAAUCACUCCCGUGCCUUCGGUAUAAGGGAGACCCACUGGGGUGAAGGACCUUGCGUCCGGAGCUUUGGUGGGUGGCACAGACCAGGGGGUAGCGACUGUUUACCAAAAACACAGGUGCAUGCGAAGGCGAAAGCCGCUGUAUAUGCACUGACGCCUGCCCGGUGCCGGAAGGUUAAGAGGAUCCGUCAAUCCUUCGGGAUGAAGCGGUGAAUUCAAGCCCCGGUAAACGGCGGUGGUAACUAUAACCAUCCUAAGGUAGCGAAAUUCCUUGUCGGGUAAGUUCCGACCUGCACGAAUGGCGUA